CUAGUAGCUGGUUCCCUCCGAAGUUUCCCUCAGGAUAGCUGGAGCCCGGUGCAGUUUUAUCAGGUAAAGCGAAUGAUUAGAGGUCUUGGGGCCGAAACGGCUUCAACCUAUUCUCAAACUUUAAAUGGGUAAGAAGCCCGGCUUGCUCGGUUGAAGUCGGGCGCAGAAUGCUGGGGCUCCCAGUGGGCCAUUUUUGGUAAGCAGAACUGGCGAUGUGGGAUGAACCGAAAGUCGGGUUAAGGUGCCGGAAUCGACGCUCAUCAGAUCCCAUGAAAGGUGUUGGUUGAUACAGACAGCAGGACGGUGGCCAUGGAAGUCGGAAUCCGCCAAGGAGUGUGUAAAAACUCACCUGCCGAAUCAACUAGCCCUGAAAAUGGAUGGCGCUAAAGUGUCGUACCCAUACCCGACUGUCGGGUCGAGACGCGUGACCCGACAUGUAGGAGGGCGCGGCGGUGGCCGUGCAGCCUCUGGCGCGAGCCUGGGUGAAGCC
This 490-nucleotide ribosomal RNA is filed under the name Phelloderma oxychaetoides. Its description in RNAcentral is "partial 28S ribosomal RNA". It matches the Rfam family "Eukaryotic large subunit ribosomal RNA", at positions 944 to 1434 of the family's 3401-position model. Lineage: Eukaryota; Metazoa; Porifera; Demospongiae; Poecilosclerida; Phellodermidae. The record is from RNAcentral.